AUUGAACGCUGGCGGCAGGCCUAACACAUGCAAGUCGAGCGGAUGAAGGGAGCUUGCUCCUGGAUUCAGCGGCGGACGGGUGAGUAAUGCCUAGGAAUCUGCCUGGUAGUGGGGGAUAACGUCCGGAAACGGGCGCUAAUACCGCAUACGUCCUGAGGGAGAAAGUGGGGGAUCUUCGGACCUCACGCUAUCAGAUGAGCCUAGGUCGGAUUAGCUAGUUGGUGGGGUAAAGGCCUACCAAGGCGACGAUCCGUAACUGGUCUGAGAGGAUGAUCAGUCACACUGGAACUGAGACACGGUCCAGACUCCUACGGGAGGCAGCAGUGGGGAAUAUUGGACAAUGGGCGAAAGCCUGAUCCAGCCAUGCCGCGUGUGUGAAGAAGGUCUCCGGAUUGUAAAGCACUUUAAGUUGGGAGGAAGGGCAGUAAGUUAAUACCUUUCUGUUUUGACGUUACCAACAGAAUAAGCACCGGCUAACUUCGUG
Molecule: ribosomal RNA, 484 nt
Filed under: uncultured bacterium
Lineage: Bacteria
Description: partial 16S ribosomal RNA
Rfam family: Bacterial small subunit ribosomal RNA
Source: RNAcentral